This 463-nucleotide ribosomal RNA is filed under the name uncultured bacterium. Its description in RNAcentral is "partial 16S ribosomal RNA". It matches the Rfam family "Bacterial small subunit ribosomal RNA", at positions 28 to 507 of the family's 1533-position model. The record is from RNAcentral.
GAUGAACGCUGACAGAAUGCUUAACACAUGCAAGUCGAUGGGGAAGUGGUGCUUGCACCAUGGUAACCAUGGCGGACGGGUGAGUAACGCGUAAGGAACUUACCUGCGGGACCGGGAUAACAGCAGGAAACUGCUGACAAGACCGGAUAAGGUCAUUAAGCUGCAUAGCUUAGUGAUGAAAGGAGACGCCUGCGGAGAGCCUUGCGUCCUAUUAGCUAGUUGGAGGGGUAACGGCCCACCAAGGCGAAGAUAGGUAGCCGGCCUGAGAGGGUGGACGGCCACAAGGGGACUGAGAUACGGCACUUACUCCUACGGGAGGCAGCAGGGGGGAAUAUUGGACAAUGGGGGCAACCCUGAUCCAGCAAUUCUGUGUGCACGAAGACGGUUUUCGGAUUGUAAAGUGCUUUCAGCAGGGAAGAAGGAAGUGACGGUACCUGCAGAAGAAGCGACGGCUAAAUACGUG